UACUCAAUGGUCUUGAGAACAGUUUGUGAA
RNAcentral lists this non-coding RNA (30 nucleotides) under Rattus norvegicus (Norway rat). Lineage: Eukaryota; Metazoa; Chordata; Mammalia; Rodentia; Muridae. The record is from RNAcentral.